Molecule: long non-coding RNA, 4304 nt
Filed under: Lathyrus oleraceus (garden pea)
Lineage: Eukaryota; Viridiplantae; Streptophyta; Magnoliopsida; Fabales; Fabaceae
Description: Pisum sativum (pea) long non-coding RNA (PSAT_LNC033632)
Source: RNAcentral
AGAAGUAUAAAAUAGUAAGAAACUUUAAAUUAUUUUCAAUUUAAUUUUUAAAGAUACUUUGAGAGGUGAUAGGAUGGAAAAGAAAAUAUGAUAUGCAUAAAUUGAAGGUCAUGAAUAUUUCUCUAAAAUUUAAAGGGAAGAAGAUACUAAAAAUAUUAUUAUUUGUUGUCCUAUUUCAUUUCAUUACAAUAAUACUAGUGUAUAAAUCCAGAACUAUUAGGUUGUUGUAAUAAAAUUUAAACAAAAACUCAAAUUAUUGAGGGUAAAAAUACAAUAUCCAAAUGACAUACGAUAACACAUAAAAUAUAUUAGGUGUUUGUGUCUUAUCUGGGGACUUUCAAUUAAAAACUAAAUUUGUAAACUCUUAAAGGAAUUUAUUUAUCUUCUCGGAUUAAGCAAUUCACGCACUAUUAUACAUUUACAAUUAGUGCGGUUCAUGCAUUUUCCUCUAUAAGGAGGUCGGCAAUAAAUUUUGUUUUCACAAUCUGAAUCAUCAAAACAUUUGAUUUUCUCUGCUGCAAUUAAAAAAACACUAUAAGGUUAUUAAAAUGAAAAAAAAAUACAAUGUAUGAAAUAAAAGAGAACAUUUAAAAUGAAUGAACAAAAGUUACCUUUAAUUUUCGUUCCAAUCAAAAACAGAGAGACUAACAUAAUCAUAACAUAAGCAAAUUUUACUAUUUGUACCAUAUUUCUCCUCGUUAUUUUUAUAAAUUAUUUUGUAACUUUGUAGUUUAUGAAUAAGAGUGGAUCCUCGCCUUUUAUAAUUUUUACUUGUGGACACUUAGUUGUAAAAUAAAUCUUAAAAUUAAAUUAAUUAGUAUAUAACUUUUCGAUACAUCAUUUUUUUGUCUUUGUCUCUUCAGCACAUCCAAAAAAGAUGUAAAAUAAAACAUGUCUAUCAUAAAAAUUUAUUCUUCUUAUAAUAAAAUUUUAAUCAUUUUAUAUUAUUUUACCUCGGAUGUGAAUGGGAGAUUACCUUAGUUAUAGAGAUGGGAUACCAAAGAGCGUCAUAAAAAACUAACAUCUUAUCGAUCGGUUUUGAAUAACCGAGGGGAAAGGUGAAAAAGUCAUUCAUUUGAUCCCCAGUGUAGGUCGGAUUUUUUUAAAAGUUAUAGAGAUGGGAUACCAAAGAGCGUCAUAAAAAACUAACAUCUUAUCGAUCGGUUUUGAAUAACCGAGGGGAAAGGUGAAAAAGUCAUUCAUUUGAUCCCCAGUGUAGGUCGGAUUUUUUUAAUAACUGAGGGGUAUAACCAAUGUUUUUUAAAAUUCCAUUUUAACUGACCUUGAUCAUUUUUUAUAUAGAUCCUACAAAUUAGGUGAGAGAAUCAUAUCAAUUGUAUUUUAUUUAGAAUAUAAAACAAAAUACCAAUUUUACAUUGUUUAUAAAAGCAAAUGUACAAUCCUUGCAAUACUUAUCGUGAUAUUUGGUAUACACAAAACCUAUGCCAAGAGAACCUAUACAUAUUUUCACCUAAAUUGACAAAACAUUUACACAAUGCUAGUGUAUAGAUAAAAAUCAAGAAAAACUAGUGUUUACUAGAUUCAUAAUGACAUAAGAAGACACUUGCACAACGUGAUCGGAUGUCAUCUAUAUCCUCUUGUGGAAAUGGUGUUUUAUUGCUAGACGCUUAUAAUUUGAACAAAAUUUAAAUUAUGAUAAGAUAACUACAACAAUAAUAAAUAACAAUUAUACAUAAAUUACAUGUAUAUGGAUAAAGUUAAUACCUUAUUCAAUGAAUUAAUAAUGCCAUUAGAGAAAAUAUUAGACAUAUGUAUCAUAGUAUUAUAUCGACAUAUAAAGUUCUGUGAAUACAUAAAUUACAUGUAUAUGGAUAAAGUUAAUACCUUAUUCAAUGAAUUAAUAAUGCCAUUAGAGAAAAUAUUAGACAUAUGUAUCAUAGUAUUAUAUCGACAUAUAAAGUUCUGUGAUUAUCUUCGCUGCUACAAAUAAUUUUCAUAUUGUUACUAAUUAAUACACACAAGACACAAGUAAUACAUUAGAGAAACUAAAAUAAUAUCAAAAAGCAUAAGUAAUACUUACACGUGGUUCUAUGAACUUUAGCUUUUUACCCUGUAUAUUACGUUUCACAAAAUUGUAUCCCUCCAAAUCAUUACAUGAUGGUAAAAAUCAAACAUGAAUAAAACUUUUCAAGACUAAAGGUAAAAUUUGAGUAUUCCAAAUAAUACCACUUACGCACUUAAAAUCUUUUGUAUAUCUUCAUCAAGAUGACAAUGUAACCAGCAUAACAUAACUAUAAUAUUUUUCUUCUGACAUAAAAUAAUUAAUUGCAAAUGUUUGCUACAUAAAAACAUAGAAUAAUUACCAAUGUGUGUAUAAAAUUGAUUUAUAAAUGAAAACACAAAUUAAAUCAUAUACUUAAUUAUGGAUAAAUUAUGACAUGUAAUAUUCUUUAUUCUCUUUAACCAACUUGUUUGUAUGCGUAUAUGGAUAUUGUUGGUUAAAUUACCUUAAAAUUGAAUGUUCAAUGAAUCUAUGAAAUAAUAUGCUUUCAAUUUUCUUUCGACACUUGUCUCAUGCAUGACCCUAAUUAAAAGGUAAUGCAAAUGUCAAAAUUUUAUGUUAAAGUAUGAGAACAAUGAAUUAUGGAAUCUCGUCUAUCAUACUAAAUAAUCUUUUUCAUUUCCAUUUAGUUAGAUUUGCAAAUAAGAGUGUUAGAUUACAUUAUUUUAUUUCCUCUGAAUACUAUGUUGUAUGAUAUAAACAGAGAAAAUUAUUGUUUUAUUAGGGUGCUUGAGUAGAGGUUGUAUCUCGCUCCAACUGAAUUGAUAAAACAUCAUUCGUUUGUGAAACGUUUUUUAGUCGCGCUGAGGAAGAAGUAAGAUUCAUGGGUUGAAAUUAUUUUUAGGUUGAAGAUGAUUAUUCGAAAGGAAAGAUAUACUCCUUUUAUAGAUAAAAGUAAAAAUAAAAUUAGAGAGGAAAUGACUCGCUCGUAAUGAGCGUAUUGGCUCUCUGCAUUUUAAAACAGGGUUCUAGGGUCACAUCCUCUUCAAGUAAUUUCUUGACUAACAUGUAUCCUCUAUUUAAGACUCAUAUAAAGUUUGAAUAAAAAACUUUAUGACACAGAGAAAGAAAAUUAUUAAUAGAAGAGGUAACAAGUCUUGAAUGGAUAAAAUACAAAGAUUAUUAGUGAAAUAAAAUCUACUAAAGUACGAAUAUUCUGCUCUUACUACACACAAGUAAACAUUUAAUAUUAAUCUCCAUAAAAAAUUUCUUAUGGUUAUUAUAAAAAUAAACAAUUAAUUAUAUCUCCAUAGUUUUUUCAAAGGUUAUUAUAUGUGUAUUGAUAUUUUAUUUGUUUGCAUCUUUUAAAGGUGAACAAGGCCACCGUAACUAUUAAAAAGUAAGAGAAAUAUAAAUUGAAGAAUGAGAAAGAUCAAUAGCUUUAUAAUAUUAUUAUAUAAAUAUAGAAGUAUAAAAUUGUAAGAAACUUUAAAUUAUUUUCAAUUUAAUUUUUAAAGAUACUUUGAGAGGUGAUAGGAUGGAAAAGAAAAUGUGAUAUGCAUAAAUUGAAGGUCAUGAAUAUUUCUCUAAAAUUUAAAGUGAAGAAGAUACUAAAAAUAUUAUUACUAUGUUGUCCUAUUUCAUUUCAUUACAAUAAUACUAGUGUGUAAAUCCACAACUAUAGGUUGUGAAAAUAAAAUUUAAACAAAAAAAAUUAUUGGGGUAAAAAUACAAUAUCCAAAUGACAUACGACAACACAUAAAAUAUAUUAGGUGUUUGCGUCUUCUCUAGGGACUUUCAAUUAAAAACUAAAUUUGUAAACUCUUAAAGUAUUAUUAUCUCCUGGGAUUAAGCAAUCACGCACUAUUUUACAUUUACAAAUAAGUUUGCUUAUGCAUUUUCCUCUAUAAGGAGGCCGGCAAUAAUUUUUUUGAUAAUCUGAAUCAUCAAAACAUUCGAUUCUCUCUGCUGCAAUAAAAAACACUAUAUGGUUAUUAAAAUGAAAAAUAUAACGUAUGAAAUAAAACAGAACUUUAAAAUGAAUGAACAAAAGUUACCUUUAAUUUUCGUUCCAAUAAAAAUAGAAAGAAUAAUAUAAUCAUAACAUAAGAAAAUUAUUACUUCUACCAUAUUCUCCUCGUUAUUUUUAAUAAAUUAUUUUGUAACUUUAUAGUUAUGAAUAAGAGUGGAUCCUGCCUUUAAUAAUUUUUACUUGUGGACACUUAGUUGUAAAAUAAAUCUUAAAAUUAAAUUAAUUAGUAUAUAACUUUUCGAUACAUCAUUUUGUUGUCUUUGUCUCUUCAGCAUAUCCAAAAAAGAUGUAAAAUAAAACUUGUCUAUC